CUAUAAAUUAGACCCAUUCACCAUCAGAAAGCUCCGAGUUUUCUGCAUUACAAUUCUAUAUAAUUUACAUGCUAUGCAAAUCAUGUUCCACUGAAUACCAUCUAAUGCAUUUAUUCUUCUUCAAAAUUAACUAAACACUGCCUUCUCUUCUGCUAAAUCCAUCUCCCUGCAAAGCAGGUGUAAGGACAGUUUUCAGACAUGUACUGUUGCUUAUUAGCUCCUCUUUGCCAAAAAGUGUAUGACUGGACAAUGGUUAAAAAAAAAAUCUGUGGGGCCUCAUUUCACAAAAACCUAAUUUAAAAUCUGGAUGAUGCUCAUGGUGUGUGGAAGGGAAGGAAGAAUGGAGGCCAAGUUUCCUGGAGGGGGAGGUAGGGACUUGGGAACAGAACACAGAGGCACAGGGACUUGACUGACUUAUUUUGCUAUGACUUUUAUUUUUUUUUUAAUGGCUAUGAGAAAUUGACUUAAUUCCAGAAUAGCAUUUCUCAUCCUUCCUCACAUCUAAUCGUCCUCUGUACCUACUAGUAUCACUGGGCUGACUGCAUUAUUAAGAUGUGUCGGGAGGCAGUCAUUCUAAACCUCUGAUCUUCAGUUACACCGUUUGAUGGGAAGGUAGUGGCAUAAACAGAGGAUUAUUUAUGUCUUUUGACCCAGAGGGGCCAGGCUUAGCAGCAACUGCACCAAAAACCAUAAGGGACAUUGCCUCGCAGCUGAGUAAAGAGAGAAAGAGGUUUUGACUUCUCUCAUGCAAGAGCUUUGCGGGAGCGAUUUUACUGGGAAAGGGUCCCAGAGCUCAAUUAAGAAGUGAUCAACCUCAUCAUCCACAAUUCUUAUGCUGGAACCACUAUGAAAACCCUGUCCAUGGCUUGAAGUCCAGGAGUCUAACGGGAGGAAGCUGUUUCAAGAAGGAGCAACACACACAGGACUAUAUAUAUUUGACACGUUGGGCCAAGGACAGACACCAUUGCAGGACCCCACCCUUUUGUCCCAUGUGGUGGAAUGAGUAGCGUGACUUAGUAGAUACAACUGAGGCUCGACGGACAGAGUUCAGGACCCAGCCCUUCUGCUUUAGCCAUAUGAACUUGGGUAAGGUAAGCUUUCUAAACCUCAGUUUCCACAUUUGUCAAAUGAGGACAAAGAUUACUAUCCACCUCACAGAGUUGUUCAAGACUUAAACCACAUAAAG
RNAcentral lists this long non-coding RNA (1186 nucleotides) under Marmota monax (woodchuck). The record is from RNAcentral. Lineage: Eukaryota; Metazoa; Chordata; Mammalia; Rodentia; Sciuridae.